Molecule: long non-coding RNA, 354 nt
Organism: Suricata suricatta (meerkat)
Lineage: Eukaryota; Metazoa; Chordata; Mammalia; Carnivora; Herpestidae
Exons: 2
Source: RefSeq, a predicted model, not a curated record
UGAGAAAACCGAGACUCCCUUGAAGUAAAAUGAACUGCCCCAGGUAACACGGGGGGCUGCCAGAGGAGCUGCCUGAAGACAAGAUAUAUGCCUUGACCAAACAUCCGUCACCCACAGGGCAGAACCGCGUUAUCGCUCCCAAAUUAGGGCUGGAGACAUCCAGUCUGGGAUUUCUUAUCGGGCCCCCAGGUGCUGGGCUGAAACUGCAGUUUCGGUUCCCCCCCUACCCUAAACCAUUUGUUAUAAUCCCUUGACCCUGUUUCCUUAAUAACUGACCUACGUCGACCACCUUGUUUCACGCCUUGUACCCUUUAUAAGAUGCUUGUGUUCUCUCAAUAAAGGGGCUUGAUCAGA